CCUACGGGAGGCAGCAGUGGGGAAUAUUGGACAAUGGGGGCAACCCUGAUCCAGCCAUGCCGCGUGUGUGAAGAAGGCCCUCGGGUUGUAAAGCACUUUCAGUGAGGAAGAACGCCUGGUGGUUAAUACCCAUCAGGAAAGACAUCACUCACAGAAGAAGCACCGGCUAACUCCGUGCCAGCAGCCGCGGUAAUACGGAGGGUGCGAGCGUUAAUCGGAAUUACUGGGCGUAAAGCGCGCGUAGGUGGCUUGAUAAGCCGGUUGUGAAAGCCCCGGGCUCAACCUGGGAACGGCAUCCGGAACUGUCAAGCUAGAGUGCAGGAGAGGAAGGUAGAAUUCCCGGUGUAGCGGUGAAAUGCGUAGAGAUCGGGAGGAAUACCAGUGGCGAAGGUGGCCUUCUGGACUGACACUGACACUGAGGUGCGAAAGCGUGGGUAGCAAACAGGAUUAGAUACCCGUGUAGUC
This 465-nucleotide ribosomal RNA is filed under the name Vreelandella stevensii. RNAcentral describes it as "partial 16S ribosomal RNA". It matches the Rfam family "Bacterial small subunit ribosomal RNA", at positions 338 to 795 of the family's 1533-position model. The record is from RNAcentral. Lineage: Bacteria; Pseudomonadati; Pseudomonadota; Gammaproteobacteria; Oceanospirillales; Halomonadaceae.